This 222-nucleotide ribosomal RNA is filed under the name Triticum aestivum (bread wheat). RNAcentral describes it as "partial small subunit ribosomal RNA". Lineage: Eukaryota; Viridiplantae; Streptophyta; Magnoliopsida; Poales; Poaceae. The record is from RNAcentral.
AUGGUCCUGCAGGCGCAGAAAAAUAAUCUAGUUGUUGGACUCGCUCCGAAUCUUGUUGAAAAUGGAGUGGCCAUAUUGCAAUAUGCAGAUGAUACGGUCUUGUGCAUAGAUCAUGAUCUGCAUAAAGCUGUGAACAUGAAGUUGUUGUUAUACAUUUUUGAGCUCAUGUCUGGGCUCAAAAUCAAUUUCCAGAAAAGUCAGAUCCUGUGUGUAGGGGGAUGA